GCAGCGCUCCCCCCCGCAGCGCUCCUCGCUCAGGGUGACGGCGCGGCCGCGGGACAGGAAGGUGACGGUGACAUCGGGGACCCCCGGCACCGCGCAGCCGCGCUCCUCCCGCCGCAACACGCGGCCCGACGCUGGGGGCGGGGUCAGGGGUCAAGGGUCAAGGGUUGGGGGCAGGGGGUCAGGGGUCAAGGGUGUGGGAGGAGGGGACAGGGGUCGGGAUGUGGGGUCAGGGGUUGGGGACGUGGGGGUGGAGGAUGGGGACGUGGGGUCAGAGGUCAGGGGUCAAGGACUUGGGGUUAGGGGUUAGGGGUCAAGGAUGUGGGGUUGGAGGUUGGGGACGUGGGGUCGGGGUCAGGGAUUUGGGGUCAGAGGUCAGGGGUCAGGGACUGGGGACACAGGGUCAGAGGUCAGGGAUAGGGGAUGGGAGGUCAGAGAUCAGGGCUUGGGGACGUGAGGUCAGAGGUCAGGGGUCACCAGGAGGUCAGGGGUCAGAGGUCAGGGGUUGGAGGUCGGAGGUCAGGGGUCAAAGGUCGGAGGUCAGGGGUCAGAGGUCAAAGGUCGGAGGUCAGGGGUCAGAGGUUAAAGGUUGGAGGUCAAAGGUCAGGGGUCGGAGGUCAGAGGUCAGGGGUCGGAGGUCAAAGGUCGGAGGUCAGGUGUCAGAGGUUAAAGGUCAGAGGUCAGA
This 682-nucleotide long non-coding RNA is filed under the name Anas platyrhynchos platyrhynchos (common mallard). RNAcentral describes it as "lncRNA (ENSAPLG00000027361.1)". Lineage: Eukaryota; Metazoa; Chordata; Aves; Anseriformes; Anatidae. The record is from RNAcentral.